Long non-coding RNA from Lagenorhynchus albirostris (white-beaked dolphin), 429 nucleotides. RefSeq lists it as uncharacterized. The transcript has 3 exons. Lineage: Eukaryota; Metazoa; Chordata; Mammalia; Artiodactyla; Delphinidae. The record is from RefSeq and is a predicted model, not a curated record.
CUCGCCGAGGUGGGCUCCUGCGAGGCCUAGCGGGGGCGGGGCCUGGGGCCGGGCUCGAGCCGGGGCGCCCCUCCCCGCCUCCGCCUCCGCCUCCGCCUCCGCCCUCGCCCAGUGCUCUGGCGGCUCGGGCCUGGUCAACGCGAGCUCGGGGCUGGGUAGCCCGCGCCACCGUCAGGUUGCUAGGAUGAUUAUACAGAUCUCUCAGAUAUAGGGAAAAAAUUCAGCCACCUCACCCAGAUUCUGCAAUCCCUACGAGGCUGCAUCUGAAAUACUGAAGAGUCUGGGAGAUCAAAGCAACCUGAAUUUUACAAUAGCAUCUUGUGAAAGAAGAGGCGGAGGGAAAGCCACAGUAGUUUCAGUAAAUAAUGGGCUUUGAUGUCUCCAACUUGAAAUCCAUAUUUUGAGAGCCCUGAUGUAUCUAAUAGUAUU